This 217-nucleotide ribosomal RNA is filed under the name uncultured Streptococcus sp. RNAcentral's name for it is "partial 16S ribosomal RNA". It matches the Rfam family "Bacterial small subunit ribosomal RNA", at positions 1167 to 1382 of the family's 1533-position model. Lineage: Bacteria; Bacillati; Bacillota; Bacilli; Lactobacillales; Streptococcaceae. The record is from RNAcentral.
AGGAAGGUGGGAGUGACGUCAAUCAUCAUGCCCCUUAUGACCUGGGCUACACACGUGCUACAAUGGUUGGUACAACGAGUUGCGAGUCGGUGACGGCGAGCUAAUACUCUUAAAGCCAAUCUCAGUUCGGAUUGUAGGCUGCAACUCGCCUACAUGAAGUCGGAAUCGCUAGUAAUCGCGGAUCAGCACGCCGCGGUGAAUACGUUCCCGGGCCUUU